GAACGGCGGGAAAGGCUGCACCUGAGGCGGAGCGAGCCGUGCGUCGCGAGCUGGCCUGACGAGGCCUGGAGGGGCCCGAGAUGUUCGGGGAGCGGAGAGUCCGAAUCAAUGUCAACAGCAUGGGAUUAUGAGAAUCGGAAGUCCUCCUGGUUAUUUUGAGAGAGAGACAGAGCAUGAACGGGGGAGGGGCAGAGAGAGAGGGAG
Leopardus geoffroyi (Geoffroy's cat) is the source of this 204-nucleotide long non-coding RNA. RefSeq lists it as uncharacterized. The record is from RefSeq and is a predicted model, not a curated record. The transcript has 3 exons. NCBI's taxonomy places the organism in Eukaryota, Metazoa, Chordata, Mammalia, Carnivora, Felidae.